RNAcentral lists this ribosomal RNA (239 nucleotides) under uncultured Lactobacillus sp. RNAcentral describes it as "partial 16S ribosomal RNA". It matches the Rfam family "Bacterial small subunit ribosomal RNA", at positions 125 to 354 of the family's 1533-position model. Lineage: Bacteria; Bacillati; Bacillota; Bacilli; Lactobacillales; Lactobacillaceae. The record is from RNAcentral.
CCGUAGCCCAAGAGAUCGGGAUAACACCUGGAAACAGAUGCUAAUACCGGAUAACAACAGAUGAUGCCUAUCAACUGUUUAAAAGAUGGUUCUGCUAUCACUCUUGGAUGGACCUGCGGUGCAUUAGCUAGUUGGUAGGGUAACGGCCUACCAAGGCGAUGAUGCAUAGCCGAGUUGAGAGACUGAUCGGCCACAUUGGGACUGAGACACGGCCCAAACUCCUACGGGAGGCAGCAGAA